Molecule: ribosomal RNA, 252 nt
Filed under: uncultured Bacteroidales bacterium
Lineage: Bacteria; Pseudomonadati; Bacteroidota; Bacteroidia; Bacteroidales
Description: partial 16S ribosomal RNA
Rfam family: Bacterial small subunit ribosomal RNA
Source: RNAcentral
UACGGAGGAUGCGAGCGUUAUCCGGAUUUAUUGGGUUUCAAGGGUGCGUAGGCGGACGCUUAAGUCAGCGGUAAAAUUGCGGGGCUCAACCUCGUCGAGCCGUUGAAACUGGGUGCCUUGAGUGGGCGAGAAGUAUGCGGAAUGCGUGGUGUAGCGGUGAAAUGCAUAGAUAUCGCGCAGAACCCCGAUUGCGAAGGCAGCGUGCCGUGCCGCCACUGACGCUGAGGCACGAAAGCGCGGGGAUCGAACAGG